CAUGAUAUAAAGGAUCAUGUAUCAAUGGGUAUUUGUUUUUUGAACCGCAAAGAUUUAUAACAUAAACAAGAGUAUAAGGAGUACUCUAAUCAACUACAAAAAAGAAAAGAGGUGCAACACAUCAAAUGAAACAAUAGCACACGCCAAAAGCAAUACAGAAGAACUACAUUAUAAUCCAAAGUAAUCAAAAUUGGGUUGGCCAUUUAACUGGUAUAGGCAGCCGUUCAAGGUUUAAAGGUCUCACCGGAGUCGCACUGGUACUAAUAUAAUAUCUUAAAUUUUAUUUUUAAUAUAAUAUAUAAAUUAAUAAUAAAUAAAAAAUAACAUAAUAUUGGCAUCAGUCUACUUCUCAUGUUGUAUUCAUGGUUCGAACAAGCAGAAGUAUUGGCAUAGUCUACUUUAACGAGGAUAUGUUUUAUUUGGUGGAGAUGUUCUUGAUAUAUUGCAAAUUGAUUUCGCAAUGUUUUGAGCAGGAGGGGUGGCAUCAAUUCUUAGCAUUGGUACUGUGUUAGUAUGGGUGUAUUUAUGCAAUACAAAUUGUAUUAGAUAUCAUGGCAUAUUUGUGUUUGUGGACUUUAUUCAUUAAUAAGAGUGUUUUUUUUUUUUUUGCCUUUGUAAAAUAAAUAAAAAUAGUUUAAUUUUUUACUUUUGAAGAAGCACAGCCACAUAAAAAAGCUUUGGCGUUUCUCUUUUUGUCUUGCAUAAGUCUCGUAUUGGUAAGUUUAAAAUAUACAGGGUAGAAUAUUUGAUAUAAAAUGAAGUGUAUAUGACAUUGAAACUUUAAAUCAAAUCACUUUGGCAUGAUUUGGGUUAGUUUAGGCCUUCAAUUGUGAGGCCCAUUUCACCCAUAAUGCAAAAUGAUCAUUUUUUGGAUUUUUGAUAACUUUUUUUAAAUAAAAAAAAAAAAGUAAAAAAUAAAAAAUUUCAGUUCAAAGUGUGGGACUCGUAUUGAUUGUAUCCAAUAAAAAAGUGAGUAUUAGAGUGAGUGUUGAAAAGAGAGUCUUGUUAACACUCCUCUAGAGAUUAAUUGAUAUUCUCAUAUUAGUAUGCUGAUUUGGUUCAUCUUGUAGAUUGGAUAAAAUCCAUAUACUAGCAACGAUUUUUGGCUAAAUCGAAGGAAGCGUCUUGUUUGUUUCUCUGAAUUGUCUAUAAUUUAUAUACUACCAAUAGUUUUUCACAGAUAUCUCUGGAUUAGAUAUGUCGAUGUGUCUGACACACGUACGACACGUGUGCAAUUCAGACAAGUGUCCCAAUUUUUUUCUUUAAUUCGAUACACCUUAACACCCUUUGACACAUCUCAGACACAUCUACAUGAGGUUAAAUAUGUGUCAAAGCAAUGAUGAUUAAUGAGGGAGGUUAAACGUGUUUAGCUUUUUGGUAGUAGAUGGAUCAACGAAGGAGGAAACUAUCGUAUCUUAUUUUAAAAUUUGUUUGUAAUGAAAAAAAUUGCUUAAUUUGUAUGUACAUAUAUAUUUUGAUUCUCAAUUUAGAUAUUUUAUAAAUGAUAUUCAUAAUUUAUUUAAUUAUAAUAAAAAAUAAAUAUAUGUAUAUAGAUAACAAUUAGAUCUAGACUCAGUGGGUACCCGCAAAAAAAUCUAAAAUGCGUAGGUUAAAACCCGCAUAUUGUGUAUAGGGACAGGUAAUUAUCCGCAAAAUUGAACGAGUAUGAGUGUAAGUACGAGUACUAUAGAACCCUACCCAAAUCCUACCCAUUGUCAUCCCUAUACAUUCAGUGUUCUAUGUUUUUACAUUGGCAAUGUUGACAUGUUCGUGUCGGUCUCAAAGUCUUUGCUUCAUAGGUUAUAAUUCUAGAUAUAAAUAGUCUGUACUCCCUCUUAUGUUGGUGUUAGUAUGUGGUUUGUUUUGCAUCUAUCUUAUCUUGUUAAAGGGUUAGAUUAGCCUUAUACUCUUUAUCAAUAAAUUUUCUAUGUUCUUAAAAUAAAAACAUGGCAAUUGAUAAAAAAAAAAUGUUAUUACCUGAUAAAAAAACAGACAUAGUACAUCACAGUGCCUUUAUUUCCUGCGCUGGACCAACAUUCAUUAAAUAAUGUUAGAACAGGAUUGACAUAUAAACUCUGCAAACAAAUAUACAUACAUCAAGUAAUUAUCUUGUAUCGAUUACAUUUGUUGAGUUUACAAAAUGAAUGGAAAAAAAAAUCCAAUUGCAAUCAAAUAUUUAUGAAAUUGUAAGCUCUAGGAAUAAAAUUAUAAUUGAAACUAUCAGUUAUGAAUAUUACUCCCAAAAUUACACAAAUGCAAUAGCAAUUUGAGGUGCAACUCACACUUUGUUUCUAUUUUGAGUGAUGAAUAUUCUAUAUGAUUGAUCAAUAGACGAAAAAUGGUGUAAUGGGUGACGAUAUCCAAAGUAAUAAUCAAACCUAAAAUCAUUAGAAAUGCAUAAAACAGAGAACUGUGCCUUAUUCUUCUACGUCUAUAUAAAGUCAAAUAGAAAUAGAAUAGAGUGUUAAUAGACAAUACCUUUACGAUUUUGGUUCACAAAAAACUCUUCCACAACUUUGAUUGUGCAAACUGGUGUUGUUUCAAAGGAUAAAAUCUAUGUAUAUAAACAAGCGUAAGCCGUAUUAUUAGGCGAAGGAUAAACUUAAAGGAAAUGCAAGAGGAUGGAUAGAGGAAUUGAAGGGUUACAAUUACAAUGUGAGCAUUCGUUUUGAUGAGCAAGUUGCCGCUGUGUUUCUCAAGUUUCACCACUUCAGUCUUGCCACCAGUUU
Molecule: long non-coding RNA, 2729 nt
Filed under: Cicer arietinum (chickpea)
Lineage: Eukaryota; Viridiplantae; Streptophyta; Magnoliopsida; Fabales; Fabaceae
Description: long non-coding RNA (CARI_LNC001011)
Source: RNAcentral